This is a non-coding RNA of Sebastes umbrosus (honeycomb rockfish), 986 nucleotides long. Lineage: Eukaryota; Metazoa; Chordata; Actinopteri; Perciformes; Sebastidae. The record is from the annotation of a RefSeq genome assembly.
AUAGUCCUGAGAGUUGAACACUGGAUGACAGACAGCUGUCCUUCAUCACAACGGAAGCCACAGAAAUCCUCCUCAUCAAAAACAUGACUGUGAUCUCCGUCCUCAUCUGGACUCUCUUCUGCUGCUGCUUCACAGAGUCCAGAGGUCAGGUCACAGUGACUCAGCCUGGAGCAGUGAGCUCUGCUCUGGGAAGGUCCGUCAGUAUGAAAUGUAAGAUAAGUCAUACCGUUAUUAAUUCCGACUCUGUAGAAUGGUACCAACAGAAACAAGGAGAAGCUCCAAAACUGCUCAUUUACUAUGCUAUUAAUCGAGUAUCAGCGACCCCAGAUCGUUUUACAGGCAGUGGAUCAAGCUCUGACUUCACUCUGACCAUCAGUGGAGUCCAGACUGAAGAUGCAGCAGUUUACUACUGCAAGGGGCGACACAGCAUUAACAGUCAAUAUACGUGGACUUUUGGUGGAAGAACCAGACUGGAUGUUGGAAGUGAUGUCCGUCCCACCCUGACGGUGCUGCCCCCCUCCAGUGAGGAGCUGGAGCAGGGGAAGGCCACGCUCAUGUGCCUGGCCAACAAGGGCUUCCCCUCAGACUGGAGUCUGGCCUGGAAGGUGAACGGCAGCGGCAGCAUCAGCUGGGAGGAGAGCAGGAGCCCCGGGGUGCUGGAGAAGGACGGCCACUACAGCUGGAGCAGCACCCUGAGGCUCCCUGCAGACCAGUGGAGGAAGGUGGGCUCUGUGACCUGUGAGGCCACCCAGGGCUCCCAGACUCUGCUCUCAGAGACACUGAGGAGAGACCAGUGUUCCCAGUCCUGAGCUGACUCACUGGUUUUACUCUGAUACUGCUCUCAGUCUCUGAAACACUGUCUCUCUCUCUCUCUCUCUCUGUGUUUUUCUUUCCCUCACUCACUGUCUAAUCACAUUUCACUGAUAAAGUUACUUGAUUGUUAUAAUUCUGAUUAUUUCAACACAAUAAAGACCUUUUUUGGCAAA